AUUGGAAAUACUAUACUACAAUUAAUUUAUUUAAUACAUGGAGUGUUUAGUAAAACUGUCGACCAAUCAACACAGAAAGCGAGAUAUCUAAAAUUUGUAUACCAUUAUAGAUUUUCAUUAUCAUACAUCAAUUUUAAAUGCAAUUCCAAAUAAAAUGGCUUUGAAAACCGUGUAUUAAGCGCUUAUCGUUCAUUCACCGUGCCUGUAUCGUGUGUUCAUCAUUCAUCGUGCAUCGUGUGUGUAUCGUGCGUUCAUCAUUCAUCAUUCAUUUUUCAUUAAUCCUACGUGUAAAGCUCAUCACUCAUCGUGCGUGUAUCGUGCAUUCACCGUGCGUGCGUGUAUCGUGCGUGCGUGUAUCGUGUGUGUGGUCAGUUUGAAUUUUAGAAGGUCUAUAUAAAAGGCCCCGAAAUGGUCCGGGUACACAGUUAUCUUCCCUCAAUUUUCGUUGUCCACAAAUAUAGUUCCCUUUAAUUUCAGUAUAUUUUUUCUUAAUUUUUUUUUUUGCCUUUCCUUUGAAUUUUUUCCCCUAUUUUUGCUUUUAUGUGAAUGUAAAGUCAUCUAAGAUAAUUUCUGUAAAAUUUCUUUUUGAUAUUUUGAGCAGAAAUGAGUGAUUUGGUUGGGUAAACAUAGGUGUAAUUUCCUCUUUUCGGAAGCUCUCUGGCUUAACCCAUACUGGUGUCCUUGUGUUUUGUGUUGCCAAGAGAAAAUGAGCCGAUGAAGUUUUCUAAUUUUUUGAUAUGUUUUGUGGUUAAUGCCAAACUUUAUGUACACCAAAUCUUGUUAGAAAAGCGCAGGACAGUGAUAUUGUAGCAUCCUAGAUACUUGGACCGAGUCCACCAGUUAUAACCCUCAUCGCCGGUACAAACUACAGAGUACUGUUUACACAUGGAGCAGUCACCAUCAUAACAUCUGAGUGUAGCCUCCAGGACUUUGGGUCAGCUGAUGGAACCAGUAGGUGGGAACGAGUCCUUUUGCUGUCAUUGUCUGCAGGUGAAGUAGAAGAAGUGCAUGGGGAUUCGUCAAGGAUAGCAUUCUGUUCAACAUUCAUUUCAACAGCAGGAGCAUGGUUUUCUUCUGGAUCUGGUGAUGUGGACAGCUGUAAGACAGGGACUUUAUUCCAUGGCGUACUGUUAUGCUUGAACUUGUAACCAGGUGCAACUCUCCCUCUCUGCAGUCCAAUAAGGCCCUUGUUGAAUGGAGGGGAACCCUUUGGAAACAUUUUGAUGAUAAAUAGAAUAUUCUGGUGCAGUGUAAAGCGUCGAAUGAAACUUUGAUGACAGACCUCAAAAUUGUUAGUUUUUAUACUUUUUUGCAUUGUGUAACUUUGAUGCUGAUUUUUAAUUGGCUUAAUGAUGCUGUCAAUCAUUUUUGUUUAUUGUUUUGAUCUAUUUUUAGCUGUGGGAUUAAAGAAAGUGAUUUUUAA
Molecule: long non-coding RNA, 1423 nt
Organism: Mytilus californianus (California mussel)
Lineage: Eukaryota; Metazoa; Mollusca; Bivalvia; Mytilida; Mytilidae
Exons: 3
Source: RefSeq, a predicted model, not a curated record